This is a long non-coding RNA of Galleria mellonella (greater wax moth), 3617 nucleotides long. RefSeq lists it as uncharacterized. NCBI's taxonomy places the organism in Eukaryota, Metazoa, Arthropoda, Insecta, Lepidoptera, Pyralidae. The transcript is spliced from 4 exons. The record is from RefSeq and is a predicted model, not a curated record.
UCUAUGCAAGUGGCUCGAUUGUUAGAUUUGCCAAGCAGUAAAGCUAAGUUGUAAUUUCUUGUCAAUUUUUACAGACAAUAAAUUAAUUCUAUUUAAAUUUAUACCAAGUUACACUUAUAAAGUACACUUAUAACAUUAAUUAUUAAAAAAAAAAAUUAUAAGAUAAUUUUGUUGAAAACCUAAUUUUAUUAAUCCUAUUUCAAGCAUAUUAUAAUGUUGGUUAUUAAAACGAAAAUACAAACGUUUACUUAUGACUUAGUAUUGAUAUUAUAAUAUAUUUAAAUACAGUAAGUACUACAGAAAAUAAUUUACUGUACGGAGUGCUAAUAUUUUUUAUUUAAAUACCUAAAUUGGUUUAAUAAAGAUAAAUUAAAAGGAUCUUAUUAUAUUAAUAGAUGUAAAUUUUCUUAAAAUUUCAAAAUAUUUACUGAACUUUUUUAUUAUACAAAUACGUAAAUCAUUGCAGUUUUUCAGAAUAGUACACAAAGUGUCAUUUUGUUUGGUAUACUGGCAACACUGACCAAUAGCUGCUUUAGUGAUGAGCUAUUAUCGACUUUCAACUUAUCGAGUGAUUAAGUUAAAGUCGUUGAAUUUUUACUUUAUCAUAUUAAAAUCGUCUGCAUAAAAAUUAAAGCUAGGUCUGCUCAUUUUUUGUAAUUUUCAUUAUAUUUAUAUUUAGUAAUGUAUAUCAAAAUGAAAAAGAUAAUAGUUUGACAGACUGCCAAAUACCGGAUAUUCGGCUGACUACGAGAGCGGAUGGUUGAAUAUUCGGCGACCGGAUAUUCAGCAAUGUCGAUAAUAAAAAUCAUUGUAAAAUGAUGAAAUCUUUUUAGAUUAAAAAUUAACUAAAUAAUUGCUGAUCAACUUAAGUCUCUAUUUAGAAUUUGAUUAAAAUAGUUGUUUACUUGCUGUGUUAUUUAAAUUUCUUGGAAGGUAAUUUUUCCCUUCUUUUUCCCUUUUCAAUAAAGUCUAUUACUAUUAUUAACUAUUAUAUUAGUAUUUACUUUACAAAGAAUUACUUAUGUUAAUUUUAAGAAAUUCUAGAGUUUCUUUUUAUAUAUGGUAUCCAGCCGAAUAGUAAACUUAAAGCUCGAUACCAGAUAGAUGCCGAAUAUCCGUUUCAUAAUAAUAGAUAAUAAAUAAUGACGUAGCAUAUAUAUAUAGACUAUAGUAUUAAAAAAACCUUUCGGAGAGCUAGAUUUACCGCAAAUUAGUGAAGACAGAGAUGUAACACUUACUCCUCAGGAAUGGUAACACGUUAAAGGUACCACAGACAUUAUAAUGUAUUCUAUUAACCCAAUGGUGUUCACGUUUAUAGACGACAUUUACCUCUUUUUAUUAGACUACUCUCUUUUUAUAGAUUUAAGUUGUUAUAACACCAGUAGAGUAGACAUCUACUAUCAAAUGGUACUCACUAGUUACUAGUUAAAAUGUGGAUUUUGUAACUUAUUUACCUAUAUUUAUUACAAGUACAGAAUCAAACUUAUUUACCUUAGGUAGAUACUUAUAUAAAAAAUAUUUGUUUAUUUCUUAUUAUUUAUAUCACACUUCAAUAUUUUUUUUUUUUUUAAUACCUAAACAACAAUUUUUAUAAUUUAAAAAAUUAUGUAAGUUAUUAUGCAAGGCACUUAACACAGACGUAUUAUUGUUUUGGUUAAGCAACGUAUAUACUAUAUUGUAAAUUGUAUAGACUUAUACUUUAAACAUCACAAUAUGCACUUGAAAAAAUGUUUUUCUUCUAUGAUAAAUUGAUAAAUCCUUGUCGCGUGUUAGCACUGUAGCUAAACUUUGUGAUACUGCUGUUAUGUUAUAGAUAUCCGUAGAAACAUAUAUACUUAGAUAUAAUAGAUACUAUAGUAUGUCGCAAUUAGUGAUGUGUUCAAUAUAUACCUAUAUAUAUCAGAAGGCAGCUACCUACACAGUUAAUAGAUUGGUAGCUAUGACAUUAAAAGCAAUUAAUUUAUGUACUCUACAACUGAGUACAUAAAUAUUUUAGAGUCAGCGCUCAGAUAAGUAUUAAUUUUUUUUUUAAUAAAUGAAAAUCGAAUCGUAGAUAUUAGAUAUACGCUUUAUAGAUUUUAUAUAACUGACUCCGCACGGGAAACGUGCCGCGGGAAUAAACUAGUUGUUCACUAAAAUAUAAUCCAUAGUACCAGAUAAUACCUAGUAACCAAAAUAACAAACACGAUAAGCGUAUGGUGAUAAGUCCAACAGAAAUUUAAUACGUUGGGUUGAAACACUCGCACAAUGAAUAAAAUUCAUUUAUUUCUAACCGACUUCAAAAAUAAAUCUCAUUUUUUAUAUAUAUUUUUUGUUUUAAUUUUGUUACCUCAUAACUCUGUUAGUUAUGAACCGAUUUAGAAUUGUUUUUUUAUUCGAAAAGAUUAUUUUAUAAGGAGUUACAGAUUAGUUCUAUAGAACUUUUACCAAAAUCGGUUCAGUAGUUUAGAAUUGCAAUUGAAAUAACUGGCUUUGCCACAAUUGAAGACGGUUUUCUUUUUAUAUAACACGAUCUUAAAUUAUAUUUACUAGCAAUUGCUAGAUAAAUAACGCUAUUGUGUCGUGUAAGAGGAAAAUCUAAUAAAACAGUCCACUUCUAGAUAACGUAUCGAGAUAAAACCUAUACCAGAUUUCAAGAUCGACCUUCAGGAACACAGCGGUGAAAAUUGUAAACAAUUUGGCAUGGUCCCAGUAUGAUGAUUGGUAAGAAUAAAUGUAAACAUCGAGUACACCCAGCUCGGCGAGUCAUUUGCAAAACAAAGAGGAGAACGCAGCCAAAAUAAAAAUAUUUAUGCAGCCGCUGACUCAGGCCUGGCUUUGUUUGGUCAGAGGAAUAACCCUUUUACAGGAAAAUAAAUUAAUGUCAAAUCAUAUACAGAACGGUUAAAGGGAGUUGGCCUAUAUAGAACUAGGUACAAACAGCCACGUCAGUGAGUCUACAGAACGUAAACACAAAUUCAGGAAAUCUUCAUAAACGCGUGGCAAUAUCAAAUUGAAAUAAAUAUAAAAUAUCUAAGUCUGCAACCUCUUGAAGCUGUAAAAAAAUCAAAAUUCUAAGUGAACGAAGUCAAAAAGUUGAUUCAUUUUACCAUAUAUUACAUAUUUGAGAUUUGCAAGGAAGUCAAAAUCUAUAAGGUACCUCCCAUUGAUCUAGAAUCAUGAAAUUUGACAAAAAGCAAUAUCGUAUAGCAUAAGAGAAAACUCCGAAAACCGUAUAUAUACCUAGGUAGUUACGUCACAAAAAAUAUCUUUUUGCGAACCGGCUCGCACCGGAUGUCUACUGUGUCUUACUUUAGCUGAGCUUUCAUUUAAAACAGAUAGUAUGAAAAGAAGAGCUCAAGAUAAAUAUUAUGUUAUUAUAUUAUAGUAUAACUACACCUAUAUGUUAGCGACGGAAGUGCGUCGCCGACAGUUCAUAAUUGCUGGAACUACAGUUCUUUGUCACGUUUUACUCAUACUUCGCCAAUUAUUUAUACAUACAAUAAGAAUUCCAAUCAUUCAGAUAUGUUAUUCAAAUCCAAUUAAUCUUUAUUAUGUUUUUGAUAGUUUAUCAUAGACAUUCUUACCUGGCUUUUGUUAUCUAUUUUCACCACACUAUAUUAUAUUUCCACCACUUA